RNAcentral lists this ribosomal RNA (201 nucleotides) under Klebsiella michiganensis. RNAcentral describes it as "partial 23S ribosomal RNA". It matches the Rfam family "Bacterial large subunit ribosomal RNA", at positions 1672 to 1856 of the family's 2925-position model. Lineage: Bacteria; Pseudomonadati; Pseudomonadota; Gammaproteobacteria; Enterobacterales; Enterobacteriaceae. The record is from RNAcentral.
UAGAGAAUACCAAGGCGCUUGAGAGAACUCGGGUGAAGGAACUAGGCAAAAUGGUGCCGUAACUUCGGGAGAAGGCACGCUGAUGGUAAGUGAAGUGACUUGCUCAUGGAGCUGAAAUCAGUCGAAGAUACCAGCUGGCUGCAACUGUUUAUUAAAAACACAGCACUGUGCAAACACGAAAGUGGACGUAUACGGUGUGAC